CGUAGUUGAUCAUGGCUCAGAUUAGAACGCUGGCGGAAUGCUUUACACAUGCAAGUCGAACGGUAGAGGGGCAACCCUUGAGAGUGGCGAACGGGUGAGUAAUAUAUCGGAACGUGCCCAGUCGUGGGGGAUAACGUAGCGAAAGUUACGCUAAUACCGCAUACGAUCUAAGGAUGAAAGCGGGGGAUCGCAAGACCUCGCGCGAUUGGAGCGGCCGAUAUCAGAUUAGGUAGUUGGUGAGGUAAAGGCUCACCAAGCCAACGAUCUGUAGCUGGUCUGAGAGGACGACCAGCCACACUGGAACUGAGACACGGUCCAGACUCCUACGGGAGGCAGCAGUGGGGAAUUUUGGACAAUGGACGCAAGUCUGAUCCAGCCAUUCCGCGUGCAGGAUGAAGACCCUCGGGUUGUAAACUGCUUUUGUACGGAACGAAAAGGUUUGUCUUAAUACGAUGAGCUCAUGACGGUACCGUAAGAAUAAGCACCGGCUAACUACGUG
This 499-nucleotide ribosomal RNA is filed under the name uncultured bacterium. RNAcentral's name for it is "bacterial SSU rRNA". It matches the Rfam family "Bacterial small subunit ribosomal RNA", at positions 1 to 507 of the family's 1533-position model. The record is from RNAcentral.